Molecule: long non-coding RNA, 1117 nt
Organism: Equus quagga
Lineage: Eukaryota; Metazoa; Chordata; Mammalia; Perissodactyla; Equidae
Exons: 3
Source: RefSeq, a predicted model, not a curated record
AGGUACAGCUGUCCAGGGAGGAGAUGCAGAGGUGGGACGAUGUAAGCACUGUUUCCCGACUAGACCAGAAGCCAGCUGCGUUGCUGUGCCCUGAUCAUCUCCACCUGGACCUCUGCAGUGGUCUCCUGGCUGCCUCCUCCCAUGCCCUUCACGGCCAGUCCUCAACACAGCAAGCAGAGCGAUCCUGUUAAAGGGGUUUGGACACAUUCUGAGAUCAGAACCAGAGCUUUAUGAGAAGGAAGCCCUCAUUUACUCGUUUGCUGUCAAAAUAUUGCAACCCACUCCACUCUCCACGUGCCUGGUUUAGAGGAUGAAAGGAUUAUCCAGUUUUAACCAAAUCAACCUUCACAACAGGAGUGUUCAAGCACUCCUGGGAAGAGGCGGUGGAUUAAAGACAUGCCCAGCGAUGCGAGCCAAGCCAACAAUGAGAAAGGACAGAGCACAACCUUCCCAAAAUUAAAAACGCCAUUCGCACACCACGCAGGACCAGCACACGUCAGGGGGAGAAGCCGGUCCAGAGGCGCUUUGAGGAGUCGGUAUCUAGACACCCGAGCAAGUUCAGGGCAAGCGGCCUAACCCGUCAACGUCCUACAGACAACAGAGCCGUCGUCUCUGGGGCGAUGUCCCCGCAGGGCCGGGCUGACCAGCGCCUCUACCAGACGGAGGGACCAGGGAGCCGCAGUCGAACAAAGGCGCGUCCCAGGUCACGCAGCCCCGGCCCGGGGCGUCCUGGCGCCCAGGGACGUCGGGACCCCACUGUUUGCGUCCCCAGGCUAGAGCACUGUCUCUCGACACGCUCGACCCCGGGUAGGGGCUUUUCCACUAGGGGCCACCCAACCAGAAGGCAGUCAAAACUCCCCGAUCUUCCGGCAGUAGACUCUGCACCUCCGGCAUCGGUAACCACGAGUAAUAGCCCGGCUCGCUGACAACGUCGAAGAGGUGCAUAGACGGGCGGGAGUGUGCGCAUUUGGGGACCACGGCCGCCUGGAGGCCCGGCCCGGAGCAGGGGCGCCCUGGCUCGGCCCGCAGCCGGUCUUCGGGGGCUCCGGGUCUACCGCCCCGCGCGGAAUCAACCCGCCUCGGCACACCAGCCCCUUAACAGCGCCCCAACGACCGC